Molecule: RNA transcript, 1250 nt
Organism: Vombatus ursinus (common wombat)
Lineage: Eukaryota; Metazoa; Chordata; Mammalia; Diprotodontia; Vombatidae
Gene name: OX-2 membrane glycoprotein-like
Exons: 8
Source: RefSeq, a predicted model, not a curated record
UCUGACCGAGCUUGCUUCCCCUGAGCUCUUUAGCCUGGAAGUUCCUGAAGCCUCCAAGACCCUGGAGGGUAGGGGGUUCGCUCCUCUGGCUGAUGGAACGGCUGGUGCAUGAGAAAUUCUUCUCUCAUAGUUUCACAUGCAGUCUGAUUUGGGGCAUGACUCUUGUGAUGCAGUGCUGGGCACAAGGAAAUGUGGUCACUGAGGAUGAGACAGUGAUGCUGGAGAGACCUGCGUCCUUAAAAUGUUCUCUGCAGACUGUUCAAGAGGUUGUGAUUGUCACAUGGCAGAAACUCAUUAACAAAGGACCAGAAAACAUGGCAACUUUCAGCAAACAACAUGGAGUAGUUAUCCAAUCAGCUUACAAGAAUAAAAUAGAAAUGACUCAGCCAGGGCUCAGUGAAUCAACCAUCACCUUCUUGAGAACUGCAGUUGAGGAUGAGGGAUGCUAUUUAUGCAUCUUUAACAUCUUUGGUGUUGGAACAGUCUCAGGAAAAACCUGCCUCAGUCUUUAUGUACAGCCUACAGUUUUCAUGAGCUACCAACUCUCUGAAGGCCACCUGAAUGUCACCUGCUCUGCCACUGCACGGCCAGCCCCUGUGAUUUCCUGGAAGGUCGGGCUAGAGGUGCCGAAUAGCGUUGAGAGCAUCAUUCAUCCAAAUGGUACCACAUCAGUCACUAGCACCCUCCACAUCAAAGACUCUGAGAACCAUCUGGGAAAAAAGAUAUUCUGUAAUGUGGAUCACAUGAAUAAUAGGUUGGAAUACAACGUGAUCCCAACCAAAGAUGGCGCAGGCCUUCAUUUUUCAGUGCCUAUAUUUGUGGGUAUUCUUGUGCCUGUAGUGAUUCUGCUGGCCUUGAUUUCUAUCUUAUUCUACUGGAAAUAUUGGCGCCAGAGUAGAGGAAUAUGAUUUUUCCCCUGAGGACUGCUUUAGCUGUAUCCCAGGAAUUUAGGUAGCACUGUGAAUAGAACGAUGGAGUUUUCCUGAAAUCAGGAAGACUUGCAUUCCAGUUUGGCUUCAGACACUCACUAGUUGUUUGACCCUGGCGUCAUAGAACAUCAUAGCAAACCUCUUAAGUCAUUCUCUGGCUUAUGGACUAAGAAGCAAGAAUCUGGGACCACCGCUAAAAGGAGGAAAGGAAUGGGUGGAGAAUCUGAAGGACACCUAGGAAUUCCUAUUAUCAGUUUUUUUUUAUCUUUCCAUUUUUUUGUAAAUGUUUUUUUUAAUUGUUUUAUUUAUUUUAUUUUUUAU